UAGGGUAACUGAAAAUAUGCUCGGCUAUCCUUUAUUUCUGUAACGCAUAUUAUAUCGGAGAUUAAGAUUAUGGCAUUGUCUGCAGACGCUAAAGCAGCAUUGGUUAAAGAAUUUCAAGUAGCUGAA
Regulatory RNA element from Marinomonas mediterranea MMB-1, 126 nucleotides. It matches the Rfam family "Ribosomal S15 leader". Rfam says of the family: The E. coli Ribosomal S15 gene 5' UTR can form two alternative structures. One that is a series of three hairpins, The other includes a pseudoknot. The record is from Rfam. NCBI's taxonomy places the organism in Bacteria, Pseudomonadati, Pseudomonadota, Gammaproteobacteria, Oceanospirillales, Oceanospirillaceae.